CAGGCGAUUUGGGCGUCUACUCGUCAUCCUGAGGGACACAUUUCAUCCCUGAGAACUCCCAUGGCUAUCAACAAUGGAAGGAGUGGUUCAGCAAGAAGUUGCUUCUCAAAGUGGAUGCUGUCCCUACCAACAAUGUGGCUGCUAAAGCAUAUGAAACAGCCAGCAGCACCAGCAGAGACCAAGCAUUAUCAUGGGCUUCAGUGAACAUGGAGGUCAUCCGGAGGUGAUGACCCCUCCACUCCACCAUUGUCAACUCUCUCCUGACAUGAACUGAAGCCACGUCUCGUACUCGCUCGUCCACUGGCACAUUGAAUGUUUUCUCUCCAAGCACUUCAAAUCCUGUCCUGCCCCCAGUGAAAGAGUUAUGCUCUUCUCUAACACCAUCCAUCCAUCCAUGAUGAGCCUGGCCUGCAUGUUCGAUUCCAGACUGAAUCACAACCGGCAGUGAUUGGAGUACCAUAGGGUGGCGCACAUUUGGCCCAGCGUCAUCCGGGUUUG
Long non-coding RNA from Oncorhynchus tshawytscha (Chinook salmon), 498 nucleotides. RefSeq lists it as uncharacterized. The record is from RefSeq and is a predicted model, not a curated record. NCBI's taxonomy places the organism in Eukaryota, Metazoa, Chordata, Actinopteri, Salmoniformes, Salmonidae. The transcript has 3 exons.